UUUACAUUACCAAAAAAGGGAACGGUUUUGGCCAAGGUCGUCAUGAGAUAAUGCUAAGUUAACAAAACAACGAGGAUUAACCAAACAAAAUCAUUCACCACGUCGACUCUAAUAGAAUUCCGCGCCGAAGUGGCACCAUCUGAGCGACAGCUAAUCAACCAAGAAUAGAAAAUGCAUCAACAGCAUCUUUGAAAAUGCUUUCCAAGCACAUAUUUGACGCAUUAAUCAUCUCGAAACUGCUUUGUUGGCACGUUUUUUUGGACAAGGAAACGUGCUUACUUUGCGAAAGUAAAAACCCGCCAAAACAAAUCAGCUGUAUCAUCCUUGAGGAAUUCAUUGGCGCUUAGCACGUGCAGAAGACCAGCUGAAGGUUGACGGGUGCGUGUUCAGAAACAAAUAAUGCGUCAAAUCACAGAGAGAGGAGAAAGUGACCACACAGCAGUUUACUUUAAUUUCCAUGCUACGAUUCUAAACCCGCCACAAGCGACGCAUGAAGUUCGGUAAACGGAGACAACAUGACCCCUGCGCAAUUUUCACCGUCUUUUAACAGUGUGUUCUUAUGGUUGUUACAAGAAUCAGUGAUGGAGAGAUUCUAAAUUUUGCGUCUAAAGUAUUUCGAACAUAGAUCACAGGGGUAAGUCCCACGAUCGAUUGCGUUGCAACCGAACUACACCGUGUUCCGCCCUUGAAAUCGACACAUGCUGUGAAAACCACAAGGAUCGUGAACACGUAGCUCAAAAACAUGGAAAUAUUCUGCGGUGAAACCAAGGGGAUUUCAGCGCAGCAAAGUCUCUACUUCUAAGGAUAUUGCAAAUACUGCGUCGUACAAUGACGUUAAAAGAGGUUUAAAACUUUAGUAUCAAACAUGCCUAGCGGAACUUCUGGAGCAAGUGGAUACACGACUUCUGACGCGGGGUAUUCUACAGGGGGAUAUUAUCAAGACAGAGACAGAGAUAAUUGUUGUGGCUGUUCCUCGAGUUGCACGAUUCUCUGACACAAGAGAUGAGGGUGCAUAAUACUGUGACAAAAAAGGUAAGCUUGACUUAGUUUAUAUGCUACUGUCGCACACGAAAGCUCAUUUUCGCGCCUUCCCCUGAUAUUUAAGAUAACACUUGAUAUAUGCUACAAGAAACAAAAUGAUCAAAGAGGGUAAGUUUCUAAAGAAACUGCGGUGCUGCGUCGGUGGGAGAGUAUAACAGGUUAAUUUAGUGUUAAGAACUGAGUUGAGAACGUAAAUUGGCCACCGUAACGAGUUAAAAGGCUGACGUUUCGAGCGUUAGUCCUUCGUCAGAGCGAUAGAAGAAAAGCUCUUCGUUUGAGCGAUAGAGGAAGAGCUCUUCGUCAGAGCGAUGCAAGAAACUAGGCGACAACAGUCAGGAGAAAAAAUAUCCAAAAGCAGAAAAAUCCAAGCAAAAUAGUCCGAAUGUUGAGUCGAAAGAUGGGAAAAACAACUAAAUGUAAAUAAGGACUGUUUCAUUACUGCGUUAUUUUAGCAUUUGCCUUUCGAUCGCUAACAUCUUUUGAGUCUGUGU
Pocillopora verrucosa is the source of this 1532-nucleotide non-coding RNA. The record is from RefSeq and is a predicted model, not a curated record. Lineage: Eukaryota; Metazoa; Cnidaria; Anthozoa; Scleractinia; Pocilloporidae.